CUAUACCCCUAGCACGCACAAACGGGCAAGACCACAAAAGGAUUGGGAAGAAAAGAAAGCGACUUGAAGAAGGAGUGAAGGAAAUUACUACACGGUCAGAGACGAACACUUACUUGAGGUAAUCCUGGUCGUCGGAAUCUUGCCGGAGCUUUAAAGCUCCGAUGAGAUUUUCAUCUUCUGAUCUAUACUAUUGAGUACCUUGUAGUUGAAUUGAUUUUCCGCUUGCAUUCUUGUUGAUUAUGUUGGUGAGUGUUUCGUCGCUGAUUUAGGGUGAUUUCUUGAACUGAGAAUCAAUUGAUACCGCAGAUCUAUAGAAGUUGUUUUGGCUUAUCCGUGAGGUUGAUGAUGACUUUCUUUUAGAAUCAGUAUGUAUAUUUGAAUAUGUAUGUUCUGGGUUCUGGUUUGGCCAUGGUUGAACAAAAUUGAGGUUUCAUGUGUGUUUUCUUUUGAAAAUUCAGAGAGAUAAAGAAAGGAGAAAUCGUUGGAGAGGAGUAGAUAGUAAUAAGUGACCAAAGUCACAUUUGCUUUUGGUCCUUUCUUUUCAUUCAGC
Molecule: long non-coding RNA, 550 nt
Filed under: Lathyrus oleraceus (garden pea)
Lineage: Eukaryota; Viridiplantae; Streptophyta; Magnoliopsida; Fabales; Fabaceae
Description: Pisum sativum (pea) long non-coding RNA (PSAT_LNC041639)
Source: RNAcentral